Long non-coding RNA from Sapajus apella (tufted capuchin), 164 nucleotides. RefSeq lists it as uncharacterized. Lineage: Eukaryota; Metazoa; Chordata; Mammalia; Primates; Cebidae. The record is from RefSeq and is a predicted model, not a curated record. The transcript has 4 exons.
UCCCAGAUGAUCCCUCAUAUUGUUGUUAUAUGUAAAUUUUCAAUGCCCCAAAGAAGUAGCACUCUAAAAUAAAUUUAAUCUUCUCAGCAAGGCAACUUUUCUUUCUGCAGUAAGGGUGCUCCCAUUAGCUAUCUUACCACAAGAGGACACUGAACAAAGGAGGC